GAUCAGCACGCCGGGGUGAAUGCGUUCCCGGGGAUUGUACACACCGCCCGUCAAGCCAUGAGAGUUGGGGGUACUCGAAGUCGGUCACGCCAACCCGCAAGGGAAGCGUCCGCCUAAGGUAAAACCAAUGACUGGGGUUAAGUCGUAACAAGGUAGCCCUACGAGAACGUGGGGCUGGAUCACCUCCUUU
Molecule: ribosomal RNA, 190 nt
Filed under: Clostridiales bacterium
Lineage: Bacteria; Bacillati; Bacillota; Clostridia; Eubacteriales
Description: partial 16S ribosomal RNA
Rfam family: Bacterial small subunit ribosomal RNA
Source: RNAcentral